GACGCCAGGUGGCUCGCAUCCUGAUGGCCCCACUGCCUGACCCCCACAUGCAGUCAUGUGAGUCCUGCAUGCAUCCGGCCAGUCCAACCCUCCAACGCAGCAAGGCCUCGAUUAGACGUAGGGUCAGACAUCUAAUACCGAGGCAAGGCGAGGCGGCAGUUCCUCAGCUGGUCCGCAGCUGGUCCGCAGCUGGUUGGACUUGCCCGGCUCCUACUUCCCGCCCGGGUGGCCGUAGGGUGGUCUCCGCGUAGAUCCUUACCGUACCGCCUUAAGGCGGAAAUGCCAAGCAAGUACUUUCUCGCUAGUACUUCCGCUGAAGCCAGUGAGUGGCUAACACAGAUCAGACUUACAGACAUCCCUUCAAACCCGCCGGGCUAAGGCCAGGGCUACCUAAG
RNAcentral lists this long non-coding RNA (395 nucleotides) under Volvox carteri. RNAcentral's name for it is "long non-coding RNA (VCAR_LNC002841)". Lineage: Eukaryota; Viridiplantae; Chlorophyta; Chlorophyceae; Chlamydomonadales; Volvocaceae. The record is from RNAcentral.